This 66-nucleotide transfer RNA is filed under the name Metorchis xanthosomus. RNAcentral describes it as "tRNA-Leu". Lineage: Eukaryota; Metazoa; Platyhelminthes; Trematoda; Opisthorchiida; Opisthorchiidae. The record is from RNAcentral.
ACAUGAGUGCCAGAAGUUUGAUGGGUUGGUUUUAAGCACCAAAUAUGGAUUUGAUUCCCUUGUGUA